This 71-nucleotide transfer RNA is filed under the name Marmota monax (woodchuck). RNAcentral describes it as "tRNA.Ala". It matches the Rfam family "tRNA". From Rfam's summary of the family: Transfer RNA (tRNA) molecules are approximately 80 nucleotides in length. Their secondary structure includes four short double-helical elements and three loops (D, anti-codon, and T loops). The record is from RNAcentral. Lineage: Eukaryota; Metazoa; Chordata; Mammalia; Rodentia; Sciuridae.
GGGGCUGUAGCUCAGUGGCAGAGCACUUGCCUAGCAUGUAUGAGGCACUGGGUUCAAUCCUCAGCACCACA